Micropterus salmoides (largemouth bass) is the source of this 333-nucleotide long non-coding RNA. RefSeq lists it as uncharacterized. The transcript has 3 exons. The record is from RefSeq and is a predicted model, not a curated record. NCBI's taxonomy places the organism in Eukaryota, Metazoa, Chordata, Actinopteri, Centrarchiformes, Centrarchidae.
GAAGUUGGAACAGGUUGUGUCCGGGGUGAGAUGGAUCUGCAGUGAUGUUUCGUGCCCCUUUCCUGACUCGGGAAAUGUAAUGAUGAUGACAUGUAGAAGAGUGGAGGGGGAGUUCAAGAGCUUCACUGUACACACCGCUUCCACAAAGAGGGUGCUGAAGGCACCUCAGAGGUCGGAGCAGUGUCGGCCCCGCAGUGGCAGUGAAGCAGCGGCUUGUCAGGUGAGGACGGGCCAAUCUCCACGGAGAAGGAGCAUCACACAUUCCGUCGAGAACUUUUCCUGUGAAGACAUCUAUCAUUCUAUGGGAAGAGGUGACUCAUAGAUGGAAAAAUU